This 431-nucleotide ribosomal RNA is filed under the name uncultured bacterium. RNAcentral's name for it is "partial 16S ribosomal RNA". It matches the Rfam family "Bacterial small subunit ribosomal RNA", at positions 29 to 507 of the family's 1533-position model. The record is from RNAcentral.
AACGAACGCUGGCGGCAGGCUUAACACAUGCAAGUCGAACGCCCCGCAAGGGGAGUGGCAGACGGGUGAGUAACGCGUGGGAACAUACCCUUUCCUGCGGAAUAGCUCCGGGAAACUGGAAUUAAUACCGCAUACGCCCUACGGGGGAAAGAUUUAUCGGGGAAGGAUUGGCCCGCGUUGGAUUAGCUAGUUGGUGGGGUAAAGGCCUACCAAGGCGACGAUCCAUAGCUGGUCUGAGAGGAUGAUCAGCCACAUUGGGGCUGAGACACGGCCCAAACUCCUAUGAGAGGCAGCAGUGGGGAAUAUUCGACAAUGGGCGCAAGCCUGAUCCAGCCAGGCCGCGUGAGUGAUGAAGGCCUUAGGGUUGUAAAGCUCUUUCACCGAUGAAGAUAAUGACGGUAGUCGGAGAAGAAGCCCCGGCUAACUUCGUG